RNAcentral lists this ribosomal RNA (251 nucleotides) under uncultured bacterium. RNAcentral's name for it is "partial 16S ribosomal RNA". It matches the Rfam family "Bacterial small subunit ribosomal RNA", at positions 524 to 776 of the family's 1533-position model. The record is from RNAcentral.
GACGGGGGGGGCAAGUGUUCUUCGGAAUGACUGGGCGGAAAGGGCACGUAGGCGGUGAAUCGGGUUGAAAGUGAAAGUCGCCAAAAAGUGGCGGAAUGCUCUCGAAACCAAUUCACUUGAGUGAGACAGAGGAGAGUGGAAUUUCGUGUGUAGGGGUGAAAUCCGUAAAUAUACGAAGGAACGCCAAAAGCGAAGGCAGCUCUCUGGGUCCCUACCGACGCUGGGGUGCGAAAGCAUGGGGAGCGAACAGG